Long non-coding RNA from Oncorhynchus tshawytscha (Chinook salmon), 480 nucleotides. The record is from Ensembl. Lineage: Eukaryota; Metazoa; Chordata; Actinopteri; Salmoniformes; Salmonidae.
UCCUGGAGGAGAGGUGGAAGGUUGAUGUUGUACUGGAGGAGAGGAGGAAGGUUGAUGUUGUACUGUACUCCUGGAGGAGAGCUGGAAGGUUGAUGUUGUCCUUGGGGAGAGGUGGAAGGUUGAUGUUGUCCUGGAGGAGAGGUGGAAGGUUGAUGUUGUCCUGGAGGAGUGGUGGAAGGUUAAUGUUGUACUGGAGGAGAGGAGGAAGGUUGAUGUUGUACUGUACUCCUGAAGGAGAGGUGGAAAUUUGAUGUUGUACUGUACUCCUGGGGGAGAGGUGGAAUGUUGAUGUUGUCCUGGAGGAGAGGUGGAAGGUUGAUGUUGUACUGUACUCCUGAAGGAGAGGUGGAAGGUUGAUGUUGUCAUGGAGGAGAGGAGGAAGGUUGAUGUUGUACUGUACUCCUGGAGGAGAGGUGGAAGGUUGAUGUUGUCCUGGAGGAAAGGUGGAAGGUUGAUGUUGUCCUGGAGGAGAGGUGGAAG